GAAGGGAGUCGGUGAAAGGGUGGUCUACACUGUUGGUUUUCGACCGCUACGACCCGGGUUCGAAUCCCGCAUUGAGCACUCUUUUCA
Molecule: non-coding RNA, 87 nt
Organism: Cordylochernes scorpioides
Lineage: Eukaryota; Metazoa; Arthropoda; Arachnida; Pseudoscorpiones; Chernetidae
Source: the annotation of a GenBank genome assembly